GACGUAGGGCGCGAGCGUUGUCCGGAUUUAUUGGGCGUAAAGAGCUCGUAGGCGGCUUGUCGCGUCGACUGUGAAAUCCCGCGGCUCAACUGCGGGUCUGCAGUCGAUACGGGCAGGCUAGAGUUCGGUAGGGGAGACUGGAAUUCCUGGUGUAGCGGUGAAAUGCGCAGAUAUCAGGAGGAACACCGGUGGCGAAGGCGGGUCUCUGGGCCGAUACUGACGCUGAGGAGCGAAAGCCAGGGGAGCAAACGGG
Molecule: ribosomal RNA, 253 nt
Filed under: uncultured bacterium
Lineage: Bacteria
Description: partial 16S ribosomal RNA
Rfam family: Bacterial small subunit ribosomal RNA
Source: RNAcentral